Molecule: long non-coding RNA, 285 nt
Filed under: Elaeis guineensis (African oil palm)
Lineage: Eukaryota; Viridiplantae; Streptophyta; Magnoliopsida; Arecales; Arecaceae
Description: long non-coding RNA (EGUI_LNC038540)
Source: RNAcentral
UUGUUCGUGUAAGCCAAAGAUACAGAACAGUGACUUUCUAUUCUGCACCACAAAAGUCGACUCAUAGGGUUGACCCCUGUGCAGGGGACGACCCUAUGAGUUGACCCCUGUGAUAAAAAAUUUUCAUAACGACUAGUUUUUUAGCUCAUUUUGAUCACAUUUAUUGUUCAUUUAAUGUACUCCAAUGGUUUUAAUCCUGCCUAGAUUACUCUCCACCAUCUAUUGAUGAUAAAAAGGCACUAAAAGGAGGGAAAAAUAAGAGAUUGAAGCAUUCAUUUUCAGCCC